UACGAAGGGGGCUAGCGUUGUUCGGAAUUACUGGGCGUAAAGCGCACGUAGGCGGAUCGAUCAGUCAGGGGUGAAAUCCCAGGGCUCAACCCUGGAACUGCCUUUGAUACUGUCGAUCUGGAGUAUGGAAGAGGUGAGUGGAAUUCCGAGUGUAGAGGUGAAAUCCGUAGAUAUUCGGAGGAACACCAGUGGCGAAGGCGGCUCACUGGUCCAUUACUGACGCUGAGGUGCGAAAGCGUGGGGAGCAAACAGG
Molecule: ribosomal RNA, 253 nt
Filed under: uncultured bacterium
Lineage: Bacteria
Description: partial 16S ribosomal RNA
Rfam family: Bacterial small subunit ribosomal RNA
Source: RNAcentral